CUAUUCUUAGUGCAGGCUUCCUACAUGCUUAAGACCGGGGGCGGAAUUGUAAACUGCUUGUAUCGGGGAAGAAUAGUUUUCUUGCGAGGGAAUGUGACGGUACCCGAUGAAUAAGCCACGGCUAACUACGUGCCAGCAGCCGCGGUAAUACGUAGGUGGCAAGCGUUGUCCGGAUUUAUUGGGUUUAAAGGGUGCGUAGGUGGUUUUAUAAGUCAGUGGUGAAAGCUGGUUGCUCAACAAUCAAGUUGCCAUUGAUACUGUUAGACUUGAGAGAAGUGGAGGUUCAUGGAAUGGAUGGUGUAGCGGUGAAAUGCAUAGAUAUCAUCCAGAACGUCGAUUGCGAAGGCAGUGGGCUGUACUUUUUCUGACACUGAGGCACGAAAGCGUGGGGAUCAAACAGGAUUAGAUACCCUGGUAGUCCACGCUGUAAACGAUGCGAACUAGCUUUCGGGUUUAAGAUUCGGGGGCUAAGGGAAACCGAUAAGUUCGCCACCUGGGGAGUACGCCGGCAACGGUGAAACUCAAA
This 526-nucleotide ribosomal RNA is filed under the name uncultured prokaryote. RNAcentral's name for it is "bacterial SSU rRNA". It matches the Rfam family "Bacterial small subunit ribosomal RNA", at positions 392 to 905 of the family's 1533-position model. The record is from RNAcentral.